RNAcentral lists this ribosomal RNA (253 nucleotides) under uncultured bacterium. RNAcentral's name for it is "partial 16S ribosomal RNA". It matches the Rfam family "Bacterial small subunit ribosomal RNA", at positions 524 to 776 of the family's 1533-position model. The record is from RNAcentral.
UACAGAGGGGGCAAGCGUUAUUCGGAAUUAUUGGGCGUAAAGGGCGCGUAGGCGGCUUGGCAAGUGGAAGGUGAAAUCCCUCGGCUUAACCGAGGAACUGCCCUCCAAACUGCUUAGCUUGAGACCGGGAGAGGUGAGUGGAAUCCCCAGUGUAGCGGUGAAAUGCGUAGAUAUUGGGAGGAACACCAGUGGCGAAGGCGGCUCACUGGACCGGUACUGACGCUGAUGCGCGAAAGCGUGGGGAGCAAACGGG